AAGCAGUACCGAUAAGGAGCUGUGGACUGUAUAGAAGAGAGAAUGCCGGAAUGAGUAGCGAGAGGAAGGUGAGAAUCCUUCCGGCCGAAUAUCUAAGGUUUCCAGAGUAAAGCUGAUCUGCUCUGGGUAAGUCGGGGCCUAAGGCGAGGUCGAAAGACGUAGUCGAUGGAUAACAGGUAAAGAUUCCUGUACUAUAUCAUAACAGAACUGUGGGGACGCAGACAGAGAGCAUAAGCCGGGAAUGGAAAAACCGGUACAAGCGAGGUAGGAGUGCAUCAGGCAAAUCCGGUGCACAAUCUGAAGACGUGAUGUGGGGCGUAAAGCCGGAAGUAUGUGAGCUGGCUGCCAAGAAAAGCCGCUAUUGUUUAUGAUAUACCCGUACCGUAAACCGACACAGGUGGAUGAGGAGAGAAUCCUAAGGCCGACGGGAGAAGCAUUGUUAAGGAACUCGGCAAAAUGACUCCGUAACUUCGGGAGAAGGAGUGCCAUGUAAAAGUGGCCGCAGAGAAUUGGCCCAAGCAACUGUUUAGCAAAAACACAGGUCUAUGCAAAACCGAAAGGUGAGGUAUAUGGGCUGACGCCUGCCCGGUGCUGGAAGGUUAAGGGGAGAGGUUAGCGCAAGCGAAGCUUUGAACUUAAGCCCCAGUAAACGGCGGCCGUAACUAUAACGGUCCUAAGGUAGCGAAAUUCCUUGUCGGGUAAGUUCCGACCCGCACGAAAGGCGUAAUGAUUUGAGCGCUGUCUCGACAAUGCAUCCGGUGAAAUUGAAGUACCAGUGAAGAUGCUGGUUACCUGCGCCAGGACGGAAAGACCCCAUGGAGCUUUACUCCAGCUUGAUACUGGGAUUCGAUAUUGCAUGUACAGGAUAGGUGGGAGACUGAGAACUGAUGACGCCAGUUGUCAGGGAGUCACUGUUGGGAUACCACCCUUGUAGUAUUGGAUUUCUAACCAGCAGCCGUGAACCGGCUGGGGGACAAUGUCAGGUGGGGAGUUUGACUGGGGCGGUCGCCUCCGAAAGGGUAUCGGAGGCGCUCAAAGGUUCCCUCAGAAUGGUUGGAAACCAUUCGAAGAGUGCAAAGGCAGAAGGGAGCUUGACUGCGACACCGACGGGUGGAGCAGGUACGAAAGUAGGACUUAGUGAUCCGGUGGUAUUAAGUGGGAAUGCCAUCGCUCAACGGAUAAAAGCUACCCUGGGGAUAACAGGCUUAUCACUCCCAAGAGUUCACAUCGACGGAGUGGUUUGGCACCUCGAUGUCGGCUCAUCGCAUCCUGGGGCUGAAGUAGGUCCCAAGGGUUGGGCUGUUCGCCCAUUAAAGCGGUACGCGAGCUGGGUUCAGAACGUCGUGAGACAGUUCGGUCCCUAUCCGGCGUGGGCGUAGGAUAUCUGAGAGGAGCUGUCCUUAGUACGAGAGGACCGGGAUGGACGGACCGCUGGUGUACCUGUUGCAGUGCCAGCUGCAUGGCAGGGUAGCCAAGUCCGGAAGGGAUAAACGCUGAAGGCAUCUAAGCGUGAAGCCCCCCUCAAGAUGAGAUAUCCCUCCUUCGGGAGUAAGACCCCUUGAAGACUACAAGGUAGAUAGGGCAGAGGUGGAAGCAUGGCAACAUGUGGAGCUGACUGUUACUAAUAGGUCGAGGGCUUAAUCU
This 1644-nucleotide ribosomal RNA is filed under the name human gut metagenome. Its description in RNAcentral is "bacterial LSU rRNA". It matches the Rfam family "Bacterial large subunit ribosomal RNA", at positions 1253 to 2925 of the family's 2925-position model. The record is from RNAcentral.